Cimex lectularius (bed bug) is the source of this 1334-nucleotide long non-coding RNA. RefSeq lists it as uncharacterized. The transcript has 3 exons. NCBI's taxonomy places the organism in Eukaryota, Metazoa, Arthropoda, Insecta, Hemiptera, Cimicidae. The record is from RefSeq and is a predicted model, not a curated record.
AUACCCUUUGUAAUUAAAUUAAUCUCGUCCAAAUUCACCCAGUUCCACGACAAACUCUCCACUCACCCCAACCCACUAGCCCAAUCCAUGUCCUACAUUCCUGUCCGCCGAGAGGAGAUGGCCUCGGGACCUCCUCAUCAAGGACUAACCCUGCACAAAACUGGGAGACCAACAAUGGUUGGCAACUCCCCUCAAGACUACACAGUGUAUAAUGUAAAUAUGUAACUAACCUCAAAUUACGAGAUGCAUAUUCUAUUUAUUCAGGUAGCAAUUAAAAAAAGUUAAGUAAACCUAAGCAUUCAAUUAUCACUCGCUAUCACUCAAGAUGAGAGAUCACGAGGUCAUUGGCGUUUCAGUCGAGACUAUCAGAAAGUGUGGCUGAGGAAAGCUGGAUUACUAAGAGGUUGGGAUGACCAGUGGUCGAGUGGAAUUUGUUGUAUUUGAUGGCGUGGAAAACAUAAGGGAUAAUUGAAACGUACGAUUGGUCAAAGAAAGGAGCAUUUGCAAUGCGAAUGUUUUAGGCUGGAAAAAUUGGAUUCGGUAGUAGUAGGAUGAGUGACCCCCAUAUUUCCAUACAGUAAGUCCAUGUCGGUUUUAGUCGUGUGUUGUAGAUUAGUCUUUUAUGUCAAGCGAUAAUUUGGAUUGCCUUUCUAAGAGCCGAGAGAGAUUUUUAUAUCGUCUAUUUAGUCCACAUGAGCCGUUUGUUGAUGUAAAGUCCUAUGUAGCGCAUAGUUUGUUGUAGUAGAGAAGCACUGUUGAGGUACAGAGGGGGCACUUUCACAUAUUUUGGUCCAUCAAUCCGAAGGCUUCAGGAGGAAAUAUCAUAGCUUUCACAUCUGCUUUAUUAUUUUUAAAGAAGUCCUACUUUCAAUGAAAUUAAAUUAAGACGGGUUUAAUUGUUGUGUUGGGAAAUUAAACACCAAGAAAAGGUCGUAGGUAAACGGAAAUAUUUCUGUAUUCCCCGGGAACGGAUUUGCUAGGCUGUAUGCAUGUCGUAUAAACAAAGCGCCCCCCCCCCCAAAAAAAAAAUUCACGUGCUGGGCAAUUUAUCACAAACAAAAGAUUGAAAUGAAAGACCUCCUUUCAGGAGAACAUUUAUUGUCAACGGGACUGACGCUGCGGGAGAAAGUAGCGGUGGGUGGUGUGAUGGAUGAGGGGCUUGAAUUUCAACUUGACAAUGCGACUUGAACUGGGGCAUUGAGGAAAACCAGACAGUGCCUGUUUUAAAAGCCAAAGGAGUGAAAAACAUUAAAUUUGACUUAAAUAAGGAAUAAUGUAACGUUUUUUUAAUCGCUCUUUGGAAAAUUAAUCAAACUCAAUGAAAAUAAACAUUU